ACGGGUGAGUAACGCGUGGGAACGUGCCUUUCGGUUCGGAAUAACUCAGGGAAACUUGAGCUAAUACCGGAUACGCCCUUCGGGGGAAAGAUUUAUUGCCGAAAGAUCGGCCCGCGUCCGAUUAGCUAGUUGGUGUGGUAAUGGCGCACCAAGGCGACGAACGGUAGCUGGUCUGAGAGGAUGAUCAGCCACACUGGGACUGAGACACGGCCCAGACUCCUACGGGAGGCAGCAGUGGGGAAUAUUGGACAAUGGGCGCAAGCCUGAUCCAGCCAUGCCGCGUGAGUGAUGAAGGCCCUAGGGUUGUAAAGCUCUUUCGCCAGGGACGAUAAUGACGGUACCUGGAUAAGAAGCCCCGGCUAACUUCGUGCCAGCAGCCGCGGUAAUACGAAGGGGGCUAGCGUUGUUCGGAAUCACUGGGCGUAAAGCGCACGUAGGCGGAUCUUUAAGUCAGGGGUGAAAUCCCGAGGCUCAACCUCGGAACUGCCUUUGGUACUGGAGGUCUCGAGUUCGGGAGAGGUGAGUGGAACUGCGAGU
RNAcentral lists this ribosomal RNA (537 nucleotides) under uncultured bacterium. RNAcentral's name for it is "bacterial SSU rRNA". It matches the Rfam family "Bacterial small subunit ribosomal RNA", at positions 102 to 674 of the family's 1533-position model. The record is from RNAcentral.